Molecule: ribosomal RNA, 253 nt
Filed under: uncultured bacterium
Lineage: Bacteria
Description: partial 16S ribosomal RNA
Rfam family: Bacterial small subunit ribosomal RNA
Source: RNAcentral
UACGGGGGGCAAGGGCAGUGUUCGGAAUUACUGGGCGUAAAGGGCUCGUAGGCGGCCAACUAAGUCAGACGUGAAAUCCCUCGGCUUAACCGGGGAACUGCGUCUGAUACUGGAUGGCUUGAGUUCGGGAGAGGGAUGCGGAAUUCCAGGUGUAGCGGUGAAAUGCGUAGAUAUCUGGAGGAACACCGGUGGCGAAGGCGGCAUCCUGGACCGACACUGACGCUGAGGAGCGAAAGCCAGGGGAGCAAACGGG